UGCAAUCGCAGCCUUCUUCCUACAGGACAAGAUUUGACAGCCACCACGUGUCUGGACCAGGAGGUUGGGACUACGGACGGUCCAGAAUCAAAUCUUAGCCCUCUUCCUACAGGACAAGAUUCCACAGCCACCACGGUUAUGGACCAGGAGGCUGGGACUACGGUCGAUCCAGAACAGGAUUUAAACCUUCCUCCUACAGGACAAGGGACAAGACGAAUUCGGAGGAAGAAAGUUGGAACUAAACAGAAAGAUUGCCCCCACAACAACUGGGAGGUGC
This is a long non-coding RNA of Sinocyclocheilus grahami, 277 nucleotides long. RefSeq lists it as uncharacterized. The transcript has 5 exons. NCBI's taxonomy places the organism in Eukaryota, Metazoa, Chordata, Actinopteri, Cypriniformes, Cyprinidae. The record is from RefSeq and is a predicted model, not a curated record.